GUCGCCUCCUAAAAGGUAACGGAGGCGCUCAAAGGUUCCCUCAGAAUGGUUGGAAAUCAUUCAUAGAGUGUAAAGGCAUAAGGGAGCUUGACUGCGAGACCUACAAGUCGAGCAGGGUCGAAAGACGGACUUAGUGAUCCGGUGGUUCCGCAUGGAAGGGCCAUCGCUCAACGGAUAAAAGCUACCCCGGGGAUAACAGGCUUAUCUCCCCCAAGAGUUCACAUCGACGGGGAGGUUUGGCACCUCGAUGUCGGCUCAUCGCAUCCUGGGGCUGUAGUCGGUCCCAAGGGUUGGGCUGUUCGCC
RNAcentral lists this ribosomal RNA (304 nucleotides) under Staphylococcus aureus. RNAcentral's name for it is "partial 23S ribosomal RNA". It matches the Rfam family "Bacterial large subunit ribosomal RNA", at positions 2282 to 2585 of the family's 2925-position model. The record is from RNAcentral. Lineage: Bacteria; Bacillati; Bacillota; Bacilli; Caryophanales; Staphylococcaceae.